UACGUAGGGGGCCAGCGUUGUUCGGAAUUACUGGGCGUAAAGGGUUCGUAGGCGGUGCGGUAAGUCGGAAGUGAAAUCUCUGAGCUUAACUCAGAGGCUGCUUUCGAAACUGCCGUGCUCGAGUGCGGGAGAGGCGAGUGGAAUUGCAGGUGUAGCGGUGAAAUGCGUAGAUAUCUGCAGGAACACCCGUGGCGAAGGCGGCUCGCUGGACCGCAACUGACGCUGAGGAGCGAAAGCUAGGGGAG
Molecule: ribosomal RNA, 245 nt
Filed under: uncultured bacterium
Lineage: Bacteria
Description: partial 16S ribosomal RNA
Rfam family: Bacterial small subunit ribosomal RNA
Source: RNAcentral